This 254-nucleotide ribosomal RNA is filed under the name uncultured bacterium. RNAcentral describes it as "partial 16S ribosomal RNA". It matches the Rfam family "Bacterial small subunit ribosomal RNA", at positions 524 to 777 of the family's 1533-position model. The record is from RNAcentral.
UACGGAGGGUGCAAGCGUUAUCCGGAUUCACUGGGUUUAAAGGGUGCGUAGGUGGGUUGGUAAGUCAGUGGUGAAAUCUCCGUGCUUAACAUGGAAACUGCCAUUGAUACUACUGAUCUUGAAUUUUCAGGAGGUAAGCGGAAUAUGUCAUGUAGCGGUGAAAUGCUUAGAUAUGACAUAGAACACCAAUUGCGAAGGCAGCUUACUACAGGAAUAUUGACACUGAUGCACGAAAGCGUGGGGAUCAAACAGGA